RNAcentral lists this ribosomal RNA (314 nucleotides) under uncultured eukaryote. RNAcentral's name for it is "partial 18S ribosomal RNA". It matches the Rfam family "Eukaryotic small subunit ribosomal RNA", at positions 1470 to 1796 of the family's 1831-position model. The record is from RNAcentral.
CCCUUAGACGUUCUGGGCCGCACGCGCGCUACACUGACCAGUGCAACAAGCAUCCGUCCUUGGCCGACAGGCCCGGGCAAUCUUUGAACGCUGGUCGUGAUGGGGAUAGACUUUUGCAAUUUUUGGUCUUCAACGAGGAAUUCCUAGUAAACGCAAGUCAUCAACUUGCAUUGAUUACGUCCCUGCCCUUUGUACACACCGCCCGUCGCACCUACCGAUUGAAUGGCCCGGUGAAGCCUCCGGAUUGGCGCGCACCUCGGUGCCGCCGAGAAGUUGGCUAAACCUUACCAUUUAGAGGAAGGUGANGUCGUNCA